RNAcentral lists this ribosomal RNA (420 nucleotides) under uncultured bacterium. Its description in RNAcentral is "bacterial SSU rRNA". It matches the Rfam family "Bacterial small subunit ribosomal RNA", at positions 962 to 1386 of the family's 1533-position model. The record is from RNAcentral.
CGAAAAACCUUACCUACCCUUGACAUGCCAGGAACGCUGCUGAGAGGCGGCGGUGCCCGAAAGGGAGCCUGGACACAGGUGCUGCAUGGCUGUCGUCAGCUCGUGUCGUGAGAUGUUGGGUUAAGUCCCGCAACGAGCGCAACCCUUGCCGAUAGUUGCCACGAAAGGGCACUCUAUCGGGACUGCCGGUGACAAACCGGAGGAAGGUGGGGAUGACGUCAAGUCCUCAUGGCCCUUAUGGGUAGGGCUUCACACGUCAUACAAUGGUCGGUACAGAGGGCUGCCAAGGCGCGAGCUGGAGCAAAUCUCACAAAGCCGAUCGUAGUCCGGAUUGCAGUCUGCAACUCGACUGCAUGAAGUCGGAAUCGCUAGUAAUCGCGGAUCAGCAUGUCGCGGUGAAUACGUUCCCGGGCCUUGUAC